AUCAUUGGGUGUAAAGGGUGGCGUAGGCUGGUGUCUAAGUCUGGGUGAAAUUUGCCGCUUAACGGUAACAUGGCUUGGAUACUGGAUGCCUUGAAUCUGACAGAGGUCGGUGGAAUUCGUAGUGUAGCGGUGAAAUGCAUAGAUAUUACGAAGAACACCAGUGGCGAAGGCGGCCGGCUGGGUCAGUAUUGACGCUGAGGCACGAGAGCGUGGGGAGCGAACAGGAUUAGAUACCCUGGUAGUCCACGCUGUAAACGAUGUAUGCUAGUUGUUGGGCCUUUGGGUUCAGUGACGCAGUUAACGCAGUAAGCAUACCACCUGGGGAGUACGUUCGCAAGAAUGAAACUCAAAGGAAUUGACGGGGGCCCGCACAAGCGGUGGAGCAUGUGGCUUAAUUCGAUGCAACGCGAAGAACCUUACCCGGGCUAAAUCCUGAUUUGAUACCCCGAAACGGGUAGUUCUCUUCGGAGCGGUCAGGAAGGUGCUGCAUGGCUGUCGUCAGCUCGUGCCGUGAGGUGUUGCCUUAAGUGGCGCAACGAGCGCAACCCCUAUGGUUAGUUACCAGCACGUAAAGGUGGGGACUCUAGCCAGACUGCCUACGCAAGUAGUGAGGAAGGUGGGGACGACGUCAAGUCAUCAUGGCCCUUAUGUCCGGGGCUGCACACGUGCUACAAUGGACGGUACAGAGGGAAGCCACCCAGCGAUGGGGCGCAGAUCUCGAAAGCCGUUCCCAGUUCGGAUUGGAGUCUGCAACUCGACUCCAUGAAGGUGGAAUCGCUAGUAAUCGCGUAUCAGCAACGACGCGGUGAAUACGUUCCCGGGCCUUGUACACACCGCCCGUCAAGCGAUGGAAGUCAGGAGUACCUGAUGUCGCCGUGCCAACCCUUCGGGGAAGCAGGUGCCUAGGGUAAGCUUGGUAACUGGCGCUAAGUCGUAACAAGGUAGCCGUA
Molecule: ribosomal RNA, 950 nt
Filed under: uncultured bacterium
Lineage: Bacteria
Description: bacterial SSU rRNA
Rfam family: Bacterial small subunit ribosomal RNA
Source: RNAcentral